RNAcentral lists this long non-coding RNA (912 nucleotides) under Astyanax mexicanus (Mexican tetra). RNAcentral describes it as "lncRNA (ENSAMXG00005008890.1)". The record is from RNAcentral. Lineage: Eukaryota; Metazoa; Chordata; Actinopteri; Characiformes; Acestrorhamphidae.
AAAGCAGUGGUCAGUACUACUGUGAGGUUCAGAAUGAACACGGAUCUAAAAUAUCAGAAACAGUGCUGCUUAGUUUCAAAGGUAUGAUUGAUUGACCGCUCCUAUUUGAUACAACAUUUGUGUCAUAAUAUUAAUGUUAAAAGUAGGAACAGUAAAGAUUGUUUCUUACACAGAGAAUCCAAGUGUUACUCCGUAUGUGAUUGGUGGAGUCGUGGUUGGCGGUGUUGGCUUGACCCUCCUUCUUGUCAUUUUGUUUAUAAGGAGAAAGAGAAGAGGUCCUGUAACUGAAGACCCCAAAACAAAACAGGAAAACAUCUACAGCAGUGUAGAAGCUGGAGCCACAUCAAAUGACCCACCAGCAGAUGCAGCCAAUCAAGAUGAUGGUCUUUAUGCUAGAGUAGAACUCCUCAGACCACAGAAACCCAGAACCGAAGAGUGCUCUGCAGUUUCCCAUGAGGAGGUUCAGUACAGUACCAUCCAGCACCACCAUGUUCAAGAGGCAAAGAAGACUGGAGAAGAAGAUGAUGUUCAGUACGCUAGUGUCAGCUUUUCCUGUACUACUCCGGAUUACAGAUGUUUCCACAUUUAAACAGUAUUAUAAAUGCUUAAACAGUGCCUACUACUGGUGACCUUUGGAACUGUUCAUGUUAGCAGACUUGGGAGGUAGUAGAGCAGCAAUUAGCAAUUAAGAUUAGUAAAAAAUGAUUAUUAAAUGUGUCUAAGAGGUUGUUGGAUUUUUUAAAUGCCUUUUAAUCUAAAUUCUUUUAUAUAUUUUAUGUGUACUGUGUGGAGUAAAAGACAAUUUACAUAGCUGUGGCUCUAGUUCAUUAGCAGAACGGGGGAUUUUGAUCGUACAUCUGAUCAUUAUAAAAAUAUAAUAAAAUAUAUCAAAUAUACUUUUAAUACUUAAUU